UUUAGGUAAACUCAAAAUUUUCUAUUAUUGAAAGUUGAUUUUGAUUUUCGAAAAGAUUAAAAUUUCGGAUCAACUUUUAAGAAGAUUGAAGUUUGAAUUCAAGUUGAGAAAUAAGAUCUUCGGAUAUUAAAAAAUUUGGAACCUUUAAAUUUGAAAACAAUUUUGCAAGUUCCAAUCAUACUCUUUGUAGGACUUGUUGGGACCGCCGCACUAGUAUGAUAUUGUCUGCUUUGAAUUGGGAUCGCGUGUAACUCUGUACUAGUAUGAUAUUGUCCGCUUUGGGCUAAUUCCUCACGAAUUUAUUUUUAGACACCUCUCAAAAAGCCUCAUACUAGUGAAGUUGGUUGACAGUUUAAAUAUUAGAUAUGUUCCCUCUAUUUUUUCCGAUACGAGAUUGUGUUUGUCUCUUAAUAGGACUGCCUGUACGAAUAUUUUAUUUAGAUGAUCAUGGUAAAAUGAAGAAUUAUUAAAAUUUUGUAAGAUAAGCUUGCCAAUAAUUUAACAGAGCAUGAUGCUUCUAACAAGAGUUACUUUUUGCUUUGUAAUGCCACUUAGUCAAUAUAUAUAAUAUAUAUCCUAUUUACCAAAAAAAGAAAAAAAAGUAUCAAUAAAUUGUUAUCCAUUAAUGACCAAGAAAUUGUUUAGAAAAAUGAUCUCAUAUCGCAACUUAAAUAAAAGAAAAUAAUCCUUAAAAACUUU
This 699-nucleotide long non-coding RNA is filed under the name Capsicum annuum. Its description in RNAcentral is "long non-coding RNA (CANN_LNC021568)". Lineage: Eukaryota; Viridiplantae; Streptophyta; Magnoliopsida; Solanales; Solanaceae. The record is from RNAcentral.